RNAcentral lists this ribosomal RNA (301 nucleotides) under uncultured bacterium. Its description in RNAcentral is "partial 16S ribosomal RNA". It matches the Rfam family "Bacterial small subunit ribosomal RNA", at positions 510 to 808 of the family's 1533-position model. The record is from RNAcentral.
CACCGCCGCGGUAAUACGAAGGGGGCUAGCGUUGUUCGGAUUUACUGGGCGUAAAGGGCGCGUAGGCGGACUGAUAAGUCAGGGGUGAAAUCCCAAGGCUCAACCUUGGAACUGCCUUUGAUACUGUUUGUCUUGAGUUCGAGAGAGGUAAGUGGAACUGCGAGUGUAGAGGUGAAAUUCGUAGAUAUUCGCAAGAACACCAGUGGCGAAGGCGGCUUACUGGCUCGAAACUGACGCUGAGGCGCGAAAGCGUGGGGAGCAAACAGGAUUAGAUACCCCGGUAGUCCCUGUCUCUUAUACA